RNAcentral lists this long non-coding RNA (233 nucleotides) under Helianthus annuus (common sunflower). RNAcentral describes it as "sRNA HanXRQr2_Chr12g0551281". Lineage: Eukaryota; Viridiplantae; Streptophyta; Magnoliopsida; Asterales; Asteraceae. The record is from RNAcentral.
GGACUCUACAGGAUUUGCCUGAGGGUUCUAAAAUCCCUUUCAGAAUGGAUAAGUAUACAAUAUCCUUUGUUGGGACCUCAGCAACAGACUUUGCGACCGAGUGGAAUCAUUAUGCGCAAAUUUUGUCCGAUGAACUAUCACACAUGGGAAUCGGUACCGGAAGAUGCGAAAACCUUGAUGUAUGAGAAAUUAGAAGGAAAAUUCGAGUUGUUGUGAACAAAUACCAUUUUUAU